Molecule: RNA transcript, 2221 nt
Organism: Cyanidioschyzon merolae strain 10D
Lineage: Eukaryota; Rhodophyta; Bangiophyceae; Cyanidiales; Cyanidiaceae
Exons: 1
Source: RefSeq, a predicted model, not a curated record
GUGGCGUUGUGCUUCAGGAAACGAGGACUGGGUACAGAGAACGGGGCGGGGAGCAGGGUUGCAGGGUAAGCAAAGGCAUCUUGUGGCUGUUUCUGUGCGGGCUUACGUCGGACAGUCGCCGCAAGCCAGCCGAGACGCGAGACCUUGCGGUAAAACGGCCACAGCUGCUGCCUCUGCAGCAAGCCGCGCGAUCCCACGGAGUAAGACGAACGCCUGCGACCGUGGACGCUACUAGCGCCAUUAAGGUUUCCAGUCCGUGCUGGUGACCUAUGUAUAGUGUGUCGUAGACGCCAGGGUAGAUGCUGCUGCGUUCUGGAGCGCCCAUGCCGUGCUGGCAACCUAUAAAUCGCAUUUCGUGGACGCCGAGGUAGAUGCUGCUGCGUUCCUCUGCCAGCCUUUUUUCGAACAAAGCAGCGACUGCAUGAAGCGCUUCACGGUCUCAAAACCGCUUCAAGUAGCAGCCUUGGAAGCGACCGACUUGUCUUCUUGUUUUCCAGCGCAUCAAGACAUACACGUGCACGAAGGACAAGCCAGGAACGCACCGUAGCCCCAUGGUACUGGCAGCCUCGUAAUCAAGCCGCUCCCGCAUGCAACCAGAGCGCGCUGCAAGUGAUGAAAGCUUUACGAUACUCAGCUCACCCCGAGUAUUGCAUACAGUGAAGACCGUAUGUGACAAGCAUAUGUCUGAUGCAGGUGCGCGAAUAGUUGUUCAGGGCUGAGCCACUCCAACCAUGUAAGCGACAUAGAGUCUAUGACCCUUGUCCGGACAGCGCGUCUCCGUAUGCAUCUGUUACGAUGAUGCUCAUGACGUACUGCCAUCAGUCCAGGUUCCUGGUUGGACCGCAGCCGGCACCGUGCCGCCUGUGCGCUGCUGGACUCGUCUGAGCCCUUGCUAGAAUGAUCGGUUCAACGUUCGUGGCGGGCGCUUGCAUGCCGUAUGCCUCUCUCAAAAAAGAGACCCGCCUGGAGAACCCGGGGGCGCCUCCAUUUGGUCAGCUCGAAGGGUCGAUACGCCUAAACUGGCUCAUUUGGAUACACGAACGCCGUCGUUCCCUGGUACCGCGAUUCUCAUCACUUGUUCCGCCGACGCCUGGCGACGCCGAAGAUCCGAACGAGUGGAGCGCACCCGCGCUCCACCAGCGAAAUUCCUCAAGUGUCACGAGAAGCCUACAAAACAAGCUCGACGUCUGGUAGUCGCCUCGUGUCGUCGGAAUGAGCUCCAACAGCGGAAUCCCGCGACUAUCGCGAGGAUCUUCCGCUUCAGGCUCGCCAUCGAGCCAUAGACCCCUGUCAUUGCAUCCAGCAAGCCUCUAUCGCCGACUGGAUGAUAAUGCGCGGGCUCAUGGAAAGCGGAAGCGUCCAGAGCGGCAUCAUGGUCGCUUGACCGGCCACCGACAGAUAUCACGCGCAUCCUAGGGGUCCUCGCUGGAUUCAUAGAUCGUGCCGCAUAAGGAGCGGUAUUCCCGGUAUGCUCGAUUCCGAGACGCUCCUCUGAACGUGAAACAUUCACAGGCGUGUGUCGCACCGGGUGACAGCGUUUCUUUACGGGGAAAGCGGGAUUCGACUCGGUUCACUGAACCACGCUAAGCGUUACAGGGCGGCGCUCUCCAGAAUGCAAUCGGUUGCUCUUUCCAGAAACGCCUAUCUCCAAUAUCCGUAACGACGACACGCAGCAUAUAAUGGACAGAGAAGAGACCACAAACAUCUUCAUAGGUUGGUGUAAGGUCAUCGAAUUGUCUCAAGAAGAUGCGGAUCGGUAGCUUGCAGGCUGGUUUCGGUGAGCCAGCGAGUACCUGAAAACUCCCCACGAGCACAGAUUGCAUCGGCAACGAGAAACCGCUUUCCUGCCGCCGUAUCUCGAUAUCCGCUCGGCGAAUGGCGAUAUGGUUGUCUAGGAAAGUGAGUGAGCCAACGAUGACGUCCUCAAUGGAAUACGCUCGGCGAUCUAACUGUAGCUCCAGGUUCAGAAUAUCUUCGAGACCCGCGUUGAAGUGAAUGGCGGGGAAGAACCUGGGGGCUCGCUGCGAUAAUCGAACUACAACUUCCACACCAGUACUCCGUGAAGAUAGACCGGAAUAUCCGUGAAAACUCAACACCACUCGAUAUACGCAGCGAACUCGUGUGCUCUCGUAGGUGUCGUGGACGAGUUCUGCGCACCGGAAAGCGAACGGCAAAGAAACGGCCGCGUGAGGCUCCAGCUUCACGGACUCCGGUUUAAAGC